RNAcentral lists this ribosomal RNA (1443 nucleotides) under Triticum aestivum (bread wheat). RNAcentral's name for it is "partial small subunit ribosomal RNA". The record is from RNAcentral. Lineage: Eukaryota; Viridiplantae; Streptophyta; Magnoliopsida; Poales; Poaceae.
AUGGUGAAGAUCUGCUGCCUUGGGGCUGGCUAUGUGGGUGGCCCAACAAUGGCGGUCAUUGCCCUCAAGUGUCCUGACAUUCAGGUGGUUGUGGUAGAUAUCACCAAGUCCCGGAUUGAUGCCUGGAACAGUGACACACUGCCAAUCUAUGAGCCUGGCCUUGAUGAAGUCGUGAAGCAGUGCCGUGGAAAGAACCUCUUCUUCAGCAAUGACAUUGAGAAGCAUGUUAGUGAAGCUGACAUCAUCUUUGUGUCGGUAAACACCCCAACCAAGACCCGUGGUCUUGGAGCUGGUAAGGCUGCUGAUCUCACUUACUGGGAAAGUGCAGCUCGCAUGAUUGCUGAUGUGGCCAAAUCAGACAAGAUCGUGGUGGAGAAGUCCACUGUUCCAGUCAAGACUGCUGAGGCAAUUGAGAAGAUCUUGACCCACAACAGCAAUGGCAUCAACUUCCAGAUCCUCUCCAACCCGGAGUUCCUUGCUGAGGGUACUGCUAUCCAAGACCUAUUUAACCCUGACCGUGUUCUUAUUGGAGGACGUGAGACCCCUGAAGGUCAGAAGGCUGUUCAGACGCUGAAGGCUGUGUAUGCGCAUUGGGUUCCUGAGGAUCAGAUUCUGACAACCAACUUAUGGUCUGCGGAGCUGUCGAAGCUUGCAGCCAAUGCGUUCUUGGCCCAGAGGAUCUCCUCUGUGAAUGCCAUGUCAGCCCUCUGCGAGGCCACUGGUGCAAAUGUUUCUGAGGUGUCCUAUGCCGUGGGCAAGGACUCUAGGAUUGGCCCAAAGUUUUUGAAUGCCAGUGUUGGAUUUGGAGGCUCUUGCUUCCAGAAGGAUAUCCUCAACCUGGUUUACAUCUGUGAGUGCAAUGGCCUCCCAGAGGUCGCCAACUACUGGAAGCAGGUGAUCAAGAUCAAUGACUACCAGAAGAGCCGGUUCGUGAACCGUGUUGUUUCCUCUAUGUUCAACACGGUUGCGAACAAGAAGAUUGCGGUGCUUGGUUUUGCAUUCAAGAAGGAUACUGGUGACACUAGGGAGACUCCAGCUAUUGAUGUCUGCAAGGGUCUGCUUGGUGACAAGGCUAAGAUCAGCAUUUAUGAUCCUCAGGUGACUGAAGACCAAAUCCAGCGUGACCUUGCGAUGAACAAAUUUGACUGGGACCACCCUGUUCAUCUCCAGCCAAUGAGCCCCACCACUACAAAGCAAGUCUCGGUUACCUGGGAUGCAUAUGAGGCGACCAAGGAUGCCCAUGGCAUCUGCAUCAUGACUGAGUGGGAUGAGUUCAAGACUCUGGACUACAAAAAGAUCUACAACAGCAUGCAGAAGCCCGCCUUUGUUUUUGAUGGCCGCAACGUUGUUGACUCUGAGAAGCUGAGGGAGAUUGGCUUCAUUGUCUACUCCAUUGGCAAGCCACUCGACGGUUGGCUCAAGGACAUGCCUGCUGUGGCUUAA